ACUUCUCAAUUUAAAAAAACACUUCAGUUCAGAUUCGAUCCAUGGUCUUCAUUUUGUUUAGCUUGCGCACACAGGCUUUGGAGAGGACCUUGAGCACACAGCCAGGGCCAAGAAGUCCAGUGUUUUUCUUCUCCGCCAAGCUAGUGAGAGGGAAAGAUAAAGCCCAUCAACAGAAGCAGGUGUCCAGAAUCCCACUUCUUUACACAACAGGCAACGAAGUACUAUGAAGGCACCACUGAUCUUGACAAGAGGCACAACAUUUGUAUUGGGCAGAGGUUUUCCCAAAUCAGGGCAAUCACAUGUACCUACGGUGGAAGCCACAUAGGAGGGUGAUUUUCACUGAGGAGAAGGAUGCCGUGCUGACCGAAAUGCACGCUGGCCAUUUCGGAGUGAAGCACAUGAUUGCCAAAAUCAACCUAUGCUUUUUCUGCCGUGGGAUUGUCAAGGAUGUGGGCAGCUGGGAAAGUGGAAUAACCUUUUGUUAAUCAAUCACAUUCUAUUAUAUCUGAAAUGAUUAUGAUUUCAAUGAAUGUCAUUUCAGAGAGCACACAAUGUUUCAAUUUGUAACUUUGUACUUAAAGGUCAGUACCUGUCUAGCCUGCCAGAAGUUUGAGAGUGUGAAGACUGUCGCCGGAGUUGAAGCCCAUCAGUUGUUUCACAUGAUUGCUAACUGUCACAAUAAAAAUGUUGCACUGAUAACUUGUUUUGUAAUGGUUGCUUUAUUUGACUACAGUAGUGUUCAAUAUUAUAACCUCAGACCCUUCACGAAAUCCAGGAAUGGCAACAGCUGGCGUCUGACAGCGAACGAUUACUUUACCAAGUGGGU
This is a long non-coding RNA of Oncorhynchus gorbuscha (pink salmon), 826 nucleotides long. RefSeq lists it as uncharacterized. Lineage: Eukaryota; Metazoa; Chordata; Actinopteri; Salmoniformes; Salmonidae. The record is from RefSeq and is a predicted model, not a curated record. The transcript is spliced from 3 exons.